This 1220-nucleotide unclassified non-coding RNA is filed under the name Hevea brasiliensis (rubber tree). The record is from RNAcentral. Lineage: Eukaryota; Viridiplantae; Streptophyta; Magnoliopsida; Malpighiales; Euphorbiaceae.
UAUUCUCUGCCCCACUCUGAACUAUAACUGCGAUGAUAAUACUCUCCUUUCCUCCUACCUCUUACAUGGCUCCUCGAAUUGAAGUCAUCAGAAUACCUUCUCCUACCUGCUCCAGCAUCAGAACCAACACUUCCUAGUCGGGAAUGGGCAGAUGUUCUGCCCUCCUGUGUAAGGUCCUCUUGUACCCUAAAAUCUUGAUAAUCUCCAGCUUGCUUCCUCAAACUACCAUUCUGCCACUUACCAGAAAGUGCAUUUUGAGGUAACAAUCCCUUGGAAACUAAAUAUUCGGCUGCAAGUCUACCAGCUUCCAUCAAAAUGUCUCCUUUGCGUGGUGGUGGCUGGGGUGGCUGUUGAAAAGUUUUGGGAUGGCCCUGGCCACGGCCAAAGCCACGAUUAUUGAAGCUUCUGUACUCAGAAUUGUAAAACCCAUGGCCUCUGGCUGAACUAUCUGGGGAUAUCCUUGAGGCACCCAUUCCCAUAGAACUAGACCUGUACCCAUUUCCAGGACUUCGGUGCCUAGCAUGCAUCUUUCUAUUCCUGAUCGUUCUCAAACACUAUUAAAUACAACAAACAAUCAAUUGAAAGCCAAGGACAGUAAGUGAAAAAAGCAGGUGCUUUUAGCUCCCAAAAAUCCAGGACCAGCAGUACAGAAAAAAGAAAUUGCAAUCCUCAAAUUAAGCAACUNNNNNNNNGUGCCCACAAAUAAACUAAUAUGGUUUUUAUCUGGUCAAAGACGAGCAAAUCAACCCAACAAUAAAUUAUGGAGCCAAAAUGGCAGCUACCGGGUGCUUAACAAUCAAUACAGGUAGUAAUCUAAUUCCUUAGUACUUUUGAGGUCAAGGAAUCAAGGAGUCAAAAUCAACCAAAUCCAAGAGUGAAAAACCAAGAAAUGAGAUACAUAAAAAUCAAAGAUGAUCUUGGCUCCAAAGACAGUAAAAUCUGACCUUUCCUUCGUUCUGUUUUGGGUCUUUACCAGAGGCUGUAUCUAUUUGUUUUUGAUGUCUGUCAACCAAGAAAGAAAGAAGAUCCAGCUCUGGUGAUUUUAGGGUUUGAGAUCCAAGCAGGCCAAAUUUAUGGCCACCCUCUCUACCUACCCUCAACACCUCACCAUCUAGACCCCAAAAAAUCCCCUAAACUUUCCAAUUGAAGACUUGUUAAAAUCUUCCACAAUUUAAAGGUGACAGCUUUAGGUCUAAAAAAAUCUGGCAGCAAUCAGAAAG